This 459-nucleotide ribosomal RNA is filed under the name uncultured bacterium. RNAcentral describes it as "partial 16S ribosomal RNA". It matches the Rfam family "Bacterial small subunit ribosomal RNA", at positions 338 to 795 of the family's 1533-position model. The record is from RNAcentral.
CCUACGGGAGGCAGCAGUGAGGAAUAUUGGUCAAUGGGCGCGAGCCUGAACCAGCCAAGUCGCGUGAGGGAAGACGGUCCUAUGGAUUGUAAACCUCUUUUGUCGGGGAGCAAAAGACGCCACGCGUGGCGUUCCGCGAGUACCCGAAGAAAAAGCAUCGGCUAACUCCGUGCCAGCUGCCGCGGUAACACGGAGGAGGCGAGCGUUCUCCGGAUUUAUUGGGUUUAAAGGGUGCGCAGGCGGAAGAUCAAGUCAGCGGUAAAAUGGAGAGGCUCAACCUCUUCGAGCCGUUGAAACUGGUUUUCUUGAGUGAGCGAGAAGUAUGCGGAAGGCGUGGUGUAGCGGUGAAAUGCAUAGAUAUCACGCAGAACUCCGAUUGCGAAGGCAGCAUACCGGCGCUCAACUGACGCUCAUGCACGAAAGUGUGGGUAUCGAACAGGAUUAGAUACCCGGGUAGUC